Molecule: non-coding RNA, 32 nt
Organism: Musa acuminata subsp. malaccensis (wild Malaysian banana)
Lineage: Eukaryota; Viridiplantae; Streptophyta; Magnoliopsida; Zingiberales; Musaceae
Source: Rfam
CCCUUUUCGGAGACAGUGUUCCUCCAAAACUU